CCUACGGGUGGCAGCAGUGAGGAAUAUUGGUCAAUGGGCGCGAGCCUGAACCAGCCAAGUCGCGUGAGGGAAGACGGCCCUACGGGUUGUAAACCUCUUUUGCCGGGGAGCAACGGGCGCCACGUGUGGCGCCACUGAGAGUACCCGGAGAAAAAGCACCGGCUAACCCCGUGCCACCAGCCGCGGUAAUACGGAGGAUGGGAGGGUUACCCGGAGUUUGUGGGUUGACAGGGUGCGUAGGCGGGGCGUCAAGCCAGUGGGCAAAUGGAGGGGGCCAACCCCUCCCCGCCGUUGACACUGGCGGUCUGGAGUGGGAGAGAGGUAGGCGGAAUGCGUGGUGUAGGGGUGAAAUGCGGAGA
This 359-nucleotide ribosomal RNA is filed under the name uncultured bacterium. RNAcentral describes it as "partial 16S ribosomal RNA". It matches the Rfam family "Bacterial small subunit ribosomal RNA", at positions 338 to 694 of the family's 1533-position model. The record is from RNAcentral.